Molecule: long non-coding RNA, 209 nt
Organism: Acipenser ruthenus (sterlet)
Lineage: Eukaryota; Metazoa; Chordata; Actinopteri; Acipenseriformes; Acipenseridae
Exons: 3
Source: RefSeq, a predicted model, not a curated record
GUGAAGAGCCCGGUUGCGAGUGCGAGCAGGCAAACAAAGAAAAGAUGUUGUCUCCUGUCCCUGACCAGAAUUAAAUAAAGAAUACAUUCCAAGUGACUGUGACUUGUGUAACUGAAAGCCCCUGCAAAUAACUUCCUCUAAAAGAACAUAAGAAGUUUGAGAACAAGAAGAGACCACAGCUUGGGAAGGAUUUCAGCACCACCUCACUU